This 446-nucleotide ribosomal RNA is filed under the name uncultured bacterium. RNAcentral's name for it is "partial 16S ribosomal RNA". It matches the Rfam family "Bacterial small subunit ribosomal RNA", at positions 338 to 795 of the family's 1533-position model. The record is from RNAcentral.
CCUACGGGUGGCAGCAGUCGAGAAUCAUUCACAAUGGGGGAAACCCUGAUGGUGCGACGCCGCGUGGGGGAAUGAAGGUCUUCGGAUUGUAAACCCCUGUCAUGUGGGAGCAAAUUAAAAAGAUAGUACCACAAGAGGACGAGACGGCUAACUCUGUGCCAGCAGCAGCGGUAAUACAGAGGUCUCAAUCGUUGUUCGGAAUCACUGGGCGUAAAGCGUGCGUAGGCUGUUUCGUAAGUCGUGUGUGAAAGGCGAGGGCUCAACCCGCGGACGGCACAUGAUACUGCGAGACUAGAGUAAUGGAGGGGGAACCGGAAUUCGCGGUGUAGCAGUGAAAUGCGUAGAUAUCGAGAGGAACACUCGUGGCGAAGGCGGGUUCCUGGACAGUAACUGACGCUGAGGCACGAAGGCCAGGGGAGCGAAAGGGAUUAGAUACCCCAGUAGUC